UUUCCGGUUGAUCCCGCCGGACCUGACUGCUAUCGGAUUGAUACUAAGCCAUGCGAGUCUUUGCAGUAAUGCAAGGCAUACGGCUCAGUAACACGUAGUCAACUUACCCUAUGGACGAGGAUAAUCUCGGGAAACUGAGCAUAAUACUCGAUAGAUCAUAAUGCCUGGAAUGGUUCAUGGUUGAAAUGAUUCGUCGCCAUAGGAUGGGACUGCGGCCUAUCAGCUUGUUGGUGAGGUAAUGGCCCACCAAGGCGAUUACAGGUACGGGCUCUGAGAGGAGAAGCCCGGAGAUGGGUACUGAGACAAGGACCCAGGCCCUAUGGGGCGCAGCAGGCGAGAAAACUUUGCAAUGUGCGAAAGCACGACAAGGUUAAUCCGAGUGAUUUCUGCUAAAGGAAUCUUUUGCAAGUCAUAAAACCACUAGUGAAUAAGGGGUGGGCAAGUUCUGGUGUCAGCCGCCGCGGUAAAACCAGCACCUCAAGUGGUCAGGAGGAUUAUUGGGCCUAAAGCAUCCGUAGCCGGCUCUGUAAGUUUUCGGUUAAAUCCAUGUGCUCAACGCAUGGGCCGCCGAAAAUACUGCAUAGCUAGGGAGUGGGAGAGGUAGACGGUACUCAGUAGGAAGGGGUAAAAUCCUUUGAUCUAUUGAUGACCACCUGUGGCGAAGGCGGUCUACCAGAACACGUUCGACGGUGAGGGAUGAAAGCUGGGGGAGCAAACCGGAUUAGAUACCCGGGUAGUCCCAGCUGUAAACGAUGCAGACUCGAUGAUGCAUUGGCAUAUAGCCAGUGCAGUGUCGCAGGGAAGCUGUUAAGUCUGCCGCCUGGGAAGUACGUACGCAAGUAUGAAACUUAAAGGAAUUGGCGGGGGAGCACCACAAGGGGUGAAGCCUGCGGUUCAAUUGGAUUCAACGCCGGG
This 915-nucleotide ribosomal RNA is filed under the name uncultured archaeon. RNAcentral describes it as "SSU rRNA". It matches the Rfam family "Archaeal small subunit ribosomal RNA", at positions 1 to 922 of the family's 1478-position model. The record is from RNAcentral.